AAUUAUAGACUAUUUUCACUAGAGAACAGUAGUUCAUUUCACAAAUUACAGUUUCAAACAAGUUCACGUAUCGGUACACACUGCACUUCACAUAUUACAAUUUCAGUGGCCAGAUUACACUUUCUUCUUCUUCAGGGUGAUUUUUAACUAAACAUCUAACAAUGCGUGGAGACGACGUUGCUCCUGCUGAAAUAGUACUACCAUCUUCUGUCGUAGCAAUCUGUUAUGAGACAACCCCAGCCCUCCAGUCACCACUUCUUCAAUCCUUGUCAUUGAUGUCGGUACCAGUCCUUGAGUAACUUCGGCUCUUGAAUUAGGAACCACUUCAUCAGUAUGUUCUUGCAUCAGGAACCACUUCAUCAAUAUGUUACUGUCAUAUAGCCCGAAGCUCUUUAGGAACCACUUCAUCAGUAUGUUGCCCGUGAACUAUCUCGUGUACAUGCAACCUAUAGAGCAUAAUGGAAUUAAAUAGUUGUGACCUCACCACAUAAGAAUCUAACUAGAUAUAUGCUCGUGUGUUGCUAUGAUAAAUUACAUUAAUAUACAAAAAAUAUUAUAAUUUAUAAUAUUAACUCCGUAGCAACGCACGGGCAUAUACCUAUUAUAUAUAUAUAUAUAUAUAUAUAUAUAUAUAUAUAUAUAUAUAUAUAUAUAUAUAUAUAUAUAAAAUCUAAGAGGUGCAACGAACAAGUGAUAAAAAAUGGCCGUGGCAAAUGCAGGAUGCUACAGGACCACUGUAGCGAGAUAAGUUCGAGCAUGACACUGACGGAAGAACCGAGACAGGUAUGCCAUGGCCAGUUGGCCACCCGAAGACGAAACCACCACAAAUGUCACCCUCAAAAUUUUCUCCGGAAAGAAAGUAAGGGAAACCGGUCAGAGACCACAAAAGUUUCCAUGGUGCCUUGACGCUGAUCAUUCUCGGCGGCGAGUCCAGCUACAAUCUGUGAGGCGGCGGCGGCGGCAAGAACUUGACAAGGACACCAAGCCUAGCCUGGCCAGCUGGCCUGAAAGGUGGAUGAUGACAACAGGAACAGUCACCUAUUCCAUGCUGAUCUAGCGGCAAGCAUCCACCUCCUCUGCGGUCUCCCCUCCGAAUCUCCGAUGGGUCCCCGGGGGCGACACGUACGCCGAUCCGGUCCAGUGCGGAAACGAACCUCCACCGGCGGGGAAGCUCAAUACAGGCACGAUGCAUCCAGGCACAAAUCGAUCGAUUUAGAAACAAGAAUCAAAGGUGUGCGAGCCGAGAGACGAACACGAGAGCAAAUCCUUCCUUAAUAUUCAUGGACAGCGCAACGCUGACCUGCAACAACCGAAGCCGACCACAGGCAUCCGCAAGACAGCAAGUGAAGCUCAGAUCGGCGAACUGCGGCCUUCUGCGCUUCGCCUAGGAGCCUACGGAGUACUGAGAACAGAGCAGCGGAGGAUCAUGGCACAC
This 1435-nucleotide long non-coding RNA is filed under the name Zea mays. Its description in RNAcentral is "long non-coding RNA (ZMAY_LNC003213)". Lineage: Eukaryota; Viridiplantae; Streptophyta; Magnoliopsida; Poales; Poaceae. The record is from RNAcentral.